Long non-coding RNA from Oxyura jamaicensis (ruddy duck), 3472 nucleotides. RefSeq lists it as uncharacterized. The transcript has 3 exons. The record is from RefSeq and is a predicted model, not a curated record. Lineage: Eukaryota; Metazoa; Chordata; Aves; Anseriformes; Anatidae.
AGUGUCAGUGAAAUCGCUGUCCCAUGUGGCAAAAGUCCUCGUGGGUGACGGCCAGGCAUGUGAUGAAGGGGGUAACGAAGAAUGGAGAAAAUAAUUAGAGACAGAGGAGUGAAUGGUGGGAAGGAGAUGGAGGGAGAGGGGGAUGAGAGGAAAAAAAUUGAAAGAAAAAAGGAAUUGAAACACACCUCCAAAAAAAGUGUAUGUGGGAAACCAGGAAAAGGAAAGGGCCAAUGUGACCGAAUCAUCCUCGGGAGAAGGAGCACGUUCCUCAGCCUUCUCUCUGGUGCCUGGCUGAAGCUACCCCCUGUAGCCAGAGCACCUGAGGGGCCAAGACCUGUCCCAUACUCGGUCCUCAAGCAGCAAGACUUUGGGGAAGCCAGGUUUGGAGUCCAGUCAUCCACAGAGCGAGGAAAUCCUUAUUUACUGACACACCCAAAUGCGGGUUUUCUCCAGGCUCUUGGAUCCAGCAGUCCCAAGGCCGCCCCGACAUUUGCCAUCCAGCUGAUCACUUGUCACCCAAUUCCCAUCCAGUUUCGGCUUGUACGCCGCUGCCAGGCACAAACCGCUGGGCUUCGUGCCUCUUCGUGGAGGAGCACUUGACUCGUGGAGAGGUGCGGGUGCCGCGGCGUGCACCGGGAGGCUGCCUCCUCGCUGGGGCACGCCUGGUGCAGAACUGCUAAUCGCUUUCUGAUUGAAGUGGCUGCUUGCUGCCAGGACUUCUCUGCCAAAAGAUAGCUGUAUAAUACUGAUAAUCAGGCGCCCGGUGAAGAUAAAAUGCCUGUUGCUUGCCUCUAACUGAAGAGUUUCAUGUUGACAGGCUCCUUAUUACGGAGAGCCGUUUGUGCUAUGGAAAAAGCAGAGCCUUUUACUGAAAAAAAAAAUAAAAAAUCUUAUCUCAGCCUAGAAGUGCAGAGAGUGCAAUUAAUUAAUUUGUUUCUGGAGUCUGACCUCUAGGCACAACAGAUAGCAAUGAGCUAUAUAUUGUAAUUACAGGAUACAGCAAGCCUAGCCUAUAGCUCGUAGCUGAGGGCAUUGUGAGGAGAGAAAGAUUGAUGUUGAACGCGGUCGGAUGACUAACACACCGUAACAACCCAACUGGUCAGGCGAGAGGAACAGGCACCUGAAACAGCAACUGGUGUCUUGCUGAAUAAUGAUGCCAUUUCCUAUUUUUAUUACCUUCCUCUAGCCUGGAACUACCUUGUCCCAGCAGCACCGAGUGCAACACGACGUGCAGGACAGCGCUGCCCCACGUGCAGCUGGUGCCGUGCCCUUGCUCACCCCUGUGCUCCUUAUCCUCCCUCAGGAGCACUGUGGGAUUUUCCCAGGAUGAACACCACAGGCAGACAAACACAGGUGACAGUUCCCUUCUGAGAGACUUGCUCUAAUGAUACUCUUCAAUCUUGCCUGGAAAAGCAAAGAAGGAAAAGGUUAAGAGCUACACCCUGCAGCCCUUAAUCUCGGAAGAUGCUUUUGAAAAAUAAGGCCAGUAAGUAAGCUCUUGUGUCAGACAUCCCUGCUCAGGCUGUGAAGAAACCAUUGUUUCAUGGCACUGCAGCUUGUGUUGUGAUCCUUAAAUCUCAGAAGUCCAGCCAGGUCUCGUGUCAGCCUCAGCAGAGACAGGAAACGGUGCUGGUGAGUUGGUAGGUGACCCUUUUCUUCCUGAGAAAGCAACACCCCACGGUGUCAAGAGAACAUGCGCUGCUUGCAGGUCUGUCCUUUUGAGGAGAGUGAAAACGGAGGAGAGCAAAGACCUUGUGACUCCUUUUGUAAUUACACAUCCCCUCGUGCUCGCUGAUACCAAGGACGAUGUUGUCCUCCCUAGUGUCAUUCUGCUGACCUAGAAUUCCCAUUGACUGUUUUUUUCUUUUCUCUAUUUUUUUUUUUUUUUUGAACAUGGUGUGAUAUUCUUCAUUCUGUCUCUUAAGUACGUACAAAGAAAAAAAUAUCCUGUAACCUCACUGGGAAUGUCUGGUGGAAAUUUUUCACAACUGCAUUUCUCUGUUUCUGAAAGUAGGACACAUCGGUGUGAAAGAAAUGAUGCUCAACCCAAUCUCUGUCACCUCAUUACUCUUGAGCUCCAGCUUAAUUACCUCCCUGAUGCUUUGCACAGCUCUUAACCAGACAUUCAGUGUCUGCUUAAAAAUCUGCCAUACAAAAUGAAGUGAUGACUAUAUAGCCUCUUUCUGCUGGGGAGGUGAGCUGUGAGGUUGGUAAAUAUAAUUUCUAGAGAACCCAGAAGGUGCAUUACAUUGUUCAGGCCUGGUUCCGCACCACAGACAACUUACUGGAGUUCACAGAUGACUUACAAAGACCCACCGAAACCAGGCUCGAAGGUCAUAUCACAAAAUUCAUUUAAAGAUAAUAACAAAGUUUUAACCCCAAUAAAUUUGUGGUUUCUUGUUUACAGCUCCAAAGACAGAAGUUACGCUAACAGCUACCAAAUUCUGACCUCCUGUAUCUCACUAUGACUGUAUUGACGCCAGUGGGACUGCGAGAGAGAUGAAUUUGAUGGUUUAUUUUCAGAAAGUCUUUGAGUUCUUUGUGUGAAAGUCCAUACCUCAAAGUGUCUGUGUGGGAAGUGUUUGAACCCCACGCAAAACUUCCUCCUGGUUCAAACACAGGCCUAGGGCUGCCAUUUCAGUAGCCCUGUUUUAUUCUAGUAACCCUCCAAAAUGUAAGCAAGGUGCACACCGAAACUUUAUUUCACAGCCCUAAGAAUUGAUAACAUGCUUGUUUUAAGCAUACAAAAUAAUAUAAGGUAUAACCACCAAGUUACUAUAAUUCUGGCCAUGGAGAAUAUAAAUGGGGAGCUCAACCCAGGCACUUAAUAAUACAGUAAAUAUGCAUCCCUUAUCUUCCCUGACAGAGCAGCUUUCCAAAAUCUGGGUGGUACUUCAAAUCCAUGAAGUCCCUUUCCAGCAGACAAUCUUUUUGUGUCUUACUGCAGAUAGGCUUUGGUUUUCACUACUAUAGUAAUGUCAUGCAUUAGAGUUUCAAGAAACUUAUCUAUUUCCUGGUUUCCCUCACAAACAAUAAAUCACAGCUAACAUUGCUAUUACACAAGGAAAGUCAGUGUUUGUUGGAUUCAAGGUUACACUUAGCCUAUCUGUGACAAUAAUUCUAUGGAAAUAAAAAAUAAUAUUAAAUAAAAUAUGAGGUAUUCACUAAGAUGGACAGUGGUGUUUAGGAUAGAGCUCAGGGCACAUGAACUGGAUCCUAAGCAAUGACAGAAGACCUCCUGUUUCUUAUGGAGAGUUUCUCUCUGGAAGUUGAGCUCACCGAUGCCUCAGCAGCUUCCUGGUAGCAUAUCGUGCUCUCAGAAAGAUCUUUCAAAAAUGCCCGGUUUAGUUCUGAAUCUAUAUUCAGAAUUUGCUUUUCUUUACUAUUGGCUGAUCAGGCAAAUCAUACCACUUUGUGUACAUAUGUUGUGUUCAGCAGCUCUCUGAUCAUUGUCCCUCCGCAUGCCCUUUAC